Molecule: unclassified non-coding RNA, 5195 nt
Filed under: Eurytemora carolleeae
Lineage: Eukaryota; Metazoa; Arthropoda; Copepoda; Calanoida; Temoridae
Description: cytoplasmic FMR1-interacting protein
Source: RNAcentral
AUUAAAUUUCAGAAUUCAUUCAAGUCACAACCGUCUUUUCAAUAUUUUAGAAAUUGUAAGAUGAAAGAUAAGGAGUACUGGAUAAAUAAGUUUGAUUUACAGCCACACCCGAAGGAAACUAAAGGAUUUUUUAAAGAAACCUUCCGUGAUGAAUUUACCGUCAUCGGAUCUUCAGGCGAACAGAGGGCUGCAUCUACUCUUAUUUACUUUCUUCAUGUUCAAGAAUCUCUUAACCCUAAAACUACAUUCUUCAAGGUAAAAUCUGUAGAGACAAUACACUGGUACUACGGGUCUCCUCUACACCUGUAUUAUAUAAACGAGGAGGAGAGGAGGCUGGUUAAGGUGGAGUUGGGAGUUGAUGAAUUUCAGUUUGCAUUCCCCCGGGGAGUCUGGUUUACUAGACUGUGUGAGGUAGAUGAUGGAUAUUCUCUGGUUGGGGCAUCUGUAGCACCAGGCUUUGAUUUCCAGGAUCUGGAGACUACAGAAUAUGAAUCUCUCCAGCAUCUUCUAUCCUAAUAACGUGAACCUGCGAUACACUUUUUUGAAAAUACAAGAUUUUCACUUUUUAAACUUUCUAAAUUUUUCAGAUUCUACGUCCCUGGCAAAAUGUCGGGGACUGAAAAAGUUACCUUGAACGAUGCUCUCUCUAAUGUUGAUGUACUUGACGAACUCCCACUGCCUGAUGAACAGCCUUGCAUUGAGGCCCAGCCUUGCAGUAUAGUUUAUCAGAGUAAUUUCGAUACAAACUUCGAGGAUAGGAAUGCUUUCGUCACUGGAGUUGCCAAGUAUAUUGAGGAAGCGACGGUUCAUUCCAACUUGAACGAGAUGUUAGAGGAAGGACAGCUGCAUGCUGUUAUGCUAUACACCUGGAGAUGUUGUAGCAGAGCAAUUCCUCAACCUAAAUCUAACGAACAACCUAACAGGGUGGAGAUUUAUGAAAAGACAGUUGAGGUUCUAGCUCCAGAAGUCAACAAACUACUCAACCUCAUGUACUUUCAGAGGAAAGCUGUUGAAAGUUUCUGUAAUGAAGUAAAGAGACUUUCUCAUGAAGAGAAACGGAAGGAUUUUGUUUCUGAAGCUUAUCUUCUAACUUUAGGAAAGUUUAUCAACAUGUUUGCUGUGCUGGACGAACUGAAGAACAUGAAGAGCUCGGUUAAGAACGAUUAUGCAACGUACAGAAGAGCUGCACAGUUCCUUAAAGUUAUCGGAGACUCACAGGCGUUGACAGAGAGUCAGAAUCUGUCAAUGUUUCUGGCGAAGCAGGGUAGUAUCAGAGAAGAACUCAAGAAGGCUAUGGAAAAAAUAAAGAACUACGAGGACCUGCUCUGCGAUAUUGUAAACAUAUGUCUUCUUAUGUACGAGCAGAGAACGUACCUCACCCCAGCAGAGAAGCAUAUGCUCGUCAAGGUAAUGGGAUUUGGCUUGUUCCUUCUUGACUCUGAGAAUACAAGCAUCAGCAUAAACAAACUAGAUCAGAAGAAGAGAUUGAGACUAGAGAAACUAGACAGGGUAUUCUUUGAGCUCCAAGUUGUCCCUCUGUUCGGGGAUAUGCAGAUUGCUCCAUUUAACUACAUCAAGAACUCUAAAACAUUUGAUCCUUCAAAAUGGCCGCUAUCAAGCUCCAAUGCAAUAUCUCCUCAGGCCAACUUGAUGAUACAUCUGAGUAAGAUGAGAGAAGAUCAUAUCAAGUAUACAUCGGAGCUAGCCAGAUACUCUAAUGAGGUAACAACGACCUACAAGGAAACUCCGAGAACAGAUCAAGAGAAUAAGAGUUUACUCCGUUUAGCACUCAGAGGUCUACAGCUGCUCUCUGAGUGGACCUGUAUAGUAACGGAGCUGUAUAGCUGGAAGCUGCUACAUCCAACGGAUCACCAUCAGAACAAAGAUUGUCCGCAGGAUGCAGAAGAAUAUGAACGAGCCACAAGGUACAAUUACUCAAGUGACGAGAAGUUUGCUCUGAUUGAGAUAAUCGGAAUGAUCAAAGGGCUCCAGGUUCUCAUGGCAAGGAUGGAAACCGUCUUCACAGAUUCUAUCAGGAGAAGUAUCUACGCUGAGCUCCAGGAUUUUGUCCAACUGGAGCUAAGAGACCCCCUCAGGAAAGCAGUCAGAAACAAGAAGGAUCUUAUCAGGAGUAUAAUAAUGUCUGUCCGUGAGACUUGUGCUGAGUGGCAGCGAGGAAUAGAACCUCAUGAUGAUCCAGCGCUUAAAGGGAAGAAAGAUCCUGAUACAGGAUUUGAAAUCAAGGUUCCCAGACGAAAUGUUGGACCCUCCUCUACUCAGCUGUAUAUGGUCCGAACUAUGCUUGAAUCCUUAAUUGCGGACAAGGCUGGAGCUAAGCGCACUCUCAGAAAGGAUAUUGACAGCAGUAUGCUAAUGAAGAUUGAUGAGUUCCAUAAAACCUCUUUUUUCUGGAAUUAUCUUCUCAACUUCAGUAAAACAUUGCAGGACUGUUGUGACUUAUCCCAGUUGUGGUAUCGUGAGUUCUACCUUGAGAUGACUAUGGGUAAGAGAAUACAGUUCCCUAUAGAGAUGUCAAUGCCCUGGAUUCUCACGGAUCAUAUUCUUACAACAAAGGAUAGUUCCUACAUGGAGUCCGUCCUCUACCCCUUGGAUCUGUACAACGACUCCGCGUUCUACGCCCUGACUGUGUUCCGUAAACAGUUCCUGUACGACGAGGUGGAGGCCGAGGUUAACCUCUGCUUUGAUCAGUUUGUUUAUAAACUCAGUGAUCAGGUUUACAGCUACUACAAACAUCUUGCUGGGAUUAUACUACUGGACAAGCGGUUUAAACAGGAAUGCCAGACGCUUGGAACUUAUAUAACCUCUCCUCCGCCAAACAGAUAUGAGACUCUUCUCAAGCAAAGACAUGUUCAGCUUCUAGGUCGAUCUGUUGAUCUAAAUCGUCUCAUCUGUCAGAGGAUUAACAACAGUCUCCAGAAAUCCUUAGAUCUGGCAAUAUCCAGGUUUGAAGCUGGAGAUAUAACUGGUAUAGUUGAGCUGGAUGCACUGAUCAGGGUUAACAGACUCACGCAUAAGCUUCUCUCCACCCAUCUUGCUCUAGAUGAUUUUGACGAUAUGUUCCGUGAGUCCAACCAUAACGUGUUGGCUCCCUAUGGUCGUGUUACUCUACACGUGUUCUGGGAACUGAACUACGAUUUCCUGCCCCACUACUGCUACAAUGCAGCUACUAACAGGUUUGUCAAGUGUCGAGAUAUUCAGUUUUCUCAACCUGUACAAAGAGAAAGAGCUCCACAGUUGGGCCAUCACUACCUAUGGGGUAGCAAAGCUCUGAACAUUGCUAAUUCUACCAUCUACGGACAGUAUGCAAACUUUGUAGGUCCCCCACACUUUAACUGUAUGGCUAAACUGCUAGGAUAUCAGGGUAUAGCAGUGGUCAUGGAGGAACUUCUUAAAGUUGUUAAAUCCUUAAUACAGGGUAAUAUUCUCCAGUUUACCAGAACUCUGAUGGAAGCUAUGCCUAAGGACUGUAAAUUACCGAGGUAUGAUUAUGGAAGCCCGGGAAUACUUGAAUACUAUCAGCAGAAGCUGAUUGACAUUGUUCAGUACCCAGAUGCUAGAACAGAACUCUUCCAUAACUUCAGGGAGUUUGGAAAUGCAGUUCUUUUCUGUCUUCUUAUCGAACAAGCAUUGUCACAAGAGGAGGUCUGUGAUCUUCUUCAAGCUGCUCCUUUCCAGAACAUUCUCCCAAGGCCAUUCUGCAAAGAAGGCGAGAAAGCGGAAACUAAGCAAAAGCGCCUCGAGGCAAAAUAUGCCGCGCUCCAGAUUGUUCCAAACAUUGAGAAGUUAGGAACUGCUAAACAGGCUCAAAUUGCACGGGAAGGGGAUCUACUAACUAGAGAACGCCUUUGCUGUGGUCUCUCCAUUUUCGAGGUUAUUCUGAAUAGAAUAAAGGGGUUCCUUGAAGAUGCAAUCUGGCACGGGAAACCACCGGCUAACGGUGUUAUCAAUAUAGAUGAAUGCACUGAGUUUCACAGGCUGUGGUCUGCUCUGCAGUUUGUGUACUGUAUCCCUGUAGGGGAGAAUGAGUUUACUGUGGAACAUCUCUUUGGCGAGGGAUUGAAUUGGGCAGGAUGUGUAAUGAUCGUUCUUCUUGGUCAACAAAGGAGAUUUGAAUGCCUGGAUUUCUGCUACCAUAUAUUUAGGGUACAAAAAGUUGAUAGAAGAGAUGAGAAUAUAAAAGGAAUUCAGUUGAAGAGAAUGGUUGACAGGAUUCGAAGGUUCCAGGUGCUGAACAGUCAAAUAUUUGCACAGCUGAACAAAUAUAUGAAAACAAGUUUUGCGGAGAAUGAGAAUAUGCCAGUUGAACAUGUUCGAUGCUUUCAGCCACCGAUACACCAAAGCCUCGCCCAAUCCCAGUACGGUACACGGGAGACAGCUCAGUACGGUACACGGGAGACUGCACAGUACGGUACAAGGGAGACUGCCCAGUACGGUACAAUCAACAGGGACAGGUCUGGUGGAGGAAACAGAAGAUGAGGAAUACCUCUCCCUGGGCUUACAUAGGCUGGGGAGAAGUAAAACUGCUGACAAAUACUCACAACGAUGAAAAGAAAACGAGGAAGAUAGAGAAUGGCGUGGAGGGGAGGAGGAGGGGGGAUUUAUUUGAAAUCAAAACUCUUAUUUAACUCUAAAAAAAAUUUGAUAAACCCCACCUUAUCAUUUAAAAGUUCGCUGAAAAGACUUGAAUAAAAUAUGUCUUUAAAGUUUCUAUUGACUUGUAAAUUUUCAAAAGAUUUUGUGGACAUGUAUGUAUUUUUCUCGUCAUUAGACAUUGAUUAGAUCUUUAAAAUUUUUAUACUGCUAUCAUAUUUCUGUGUCUUCCUUGUAGUUUGAACUAAAAUCCUCCUAAUUUUAUUAGUAAUUACAUUUAUAAUUCAUUUCUAGUUUUGUAAGUAGUUCGAACCCCAGCUAGCCUGUAUGUAAGCUUGAAAAUUUUAUGGUUUUAACCAAAUGAUUUGAAUAAAAAGGAUCGUCAACGUUAUAUGAUUUCAACUUUAGCUUGUGUUAUUGGUGGUUUCUAUCUUCCUUAUUGUACUGAAACCCCCUAGGGACAAACUGUGUAAAUAAUUAUAAACAUUGAGAUAUGUUAUUUUGCAUUUGUAUUAAAUACAAUACUUACUUUGUAGUAUUAUGUUGUAUUGUGUGGCUUGAAAUUAAUAAAAUGUUGACUUGUA